UACGUAAGUGGCGAGCGUUAUCCGGAAUUACUGGGCGUAAAGCGUGCGUAGGCGGUUUAGUGUGUGGGAAUUGAAAGCCCGGGGCUCAACUCCGGAUCCGGUUCCCAAACUGCUAGACUCGAGAGUAUCAGAGGAGAGCGGAAUUCCCGGUGUAGCGGUAAUAUGCGUAGAUAUCGGGAGGAACACCAGUGGCGAAGGCGGUUCUCUGGGCCUUACCUGACGCUGAGGAGCGAAAGCGUGGGGAGCGAACAGG
Molecule: ribosomal RNA, 253 nt
Filed under: uncultured bacterium
Lineage: Bacteria
Description: partial 16S ribosomal RNA
Rfam family: Bacterial small subunit ribosomal RNA
Source: RNAcentral